AAAUGGGGACAGCGAAUCUCACUAGGAGCUCAGAACCUCAGAUAUUCUACAAUAUAACGGUGUAGUCAUUUCACGCAGUAAACACCCGGAUCUUUCACCAUCCGGAGAUGUCUGUGUCUCAUCUCUGGUUCCUGUUUCUGGUGCUGGUCGGUUUUACAGAUGUGGAGGCCGUGCUGAUCCAACAGACUCCGGCUUACAUAUCCGGUUCCCCGGGCACUCCAGUCAGCAUCGAGUGCUUCUACACACAAGGAAGUGUUACAGCCUAUUUCUACUGGUACCGAUGGUACCCUGACCGUGAGCCUGAGAUUCUUUUCUAUGCUGCCGCCGCUGGCAAGGUCACUCCCUCACGUGAGGUGGACGGUUUCACCGCGAGAAGGCCUGACAACAUGUACUUUUACCUGGCGUCCGCCGGCCUUCGGGCGAAUCACUCGGCUGUGAAAUGUCAGGUGCCGUUCUGGGAGCCAAUGACACAGAAAAGCAAUCUGGCCCCUCCCAUCCAACUAUUUUACAUUCAGGACAUGGGGACAACCAAUCCUACUCAGUGCUCAGAACUUCAGAUAUUCUAUAACGAAACAGCGCAGUGA
Non-coding RNA from Carcharodon carcharias (great white shark), 584 nucleotides. The record is from the annotation of a RefSeq genome assembly. Lineage: Eukaryota; Metazoa; Chordata; Chondrichthyes; Lamniformes; Lamnidae.